RNAcentral lists this microRNA precursor (104 nucleotides) under Picea abies (Norway spruce). RNAcentral describes it as "miR11532 stem-loop (pab-MIR11532)". Lineage: Eukaryota; Viridiplantae; Streptophyta; Pinopsida; Pinales; Pinaceae. The record is from miRBase by way of RNAcentral.
CUUGACAUUGUAAAAGACGGGAAUUAGUAGUGGUAGCCGCCUAUCCCGAAAGAUUCAUUGAGGAGAAGCUCUCAAUUAUUCUUCCCGUGUUUAACAAUGUCAAG